UGGGUCGUUAGCUCAGUUGGUAGAGCAGUUGACUUUUAAUCAAUUGGUCGCAGGUUCGAAUCCUGCACGACCCACCAC
This 78-nucleotide transfer RNA is filed under the name Shigella boydii CDC 3083-94. RNAcentral's name for it is "tRNA-Lys". It matches the Rfam family "tRNA". From Rfam's summary of the family: Transfer RNA (tRNA) molecules are approximately 80 nucleotides in length. Their secondary structure includes four short double-helical elements and three loops (D, anti-codon, and T loops). Further hydrogen bonds mediate the characteristic L-shaped molecular structure. tRNAs have two regions of fundamental functional importance: the anti-codon, which is responsible for specific mRNA codon recognition, and the 3' end, to which the tRNAs corresponding amino acid is attached (by aminoacyl-tRNA synthetases). tRNAs cope with the degeneracy of the genetic code in two manners: having more than one tRNA (with a specific anti-codon) for a particular amino acid; and 'wobble' base-pairing, i.e. permitting non-standard base-pairing at the 3rd anti-codon position. Lineage: Bacteria; Pseudomonadati; Pseudomonadota; Gammaproteobacteria; Enterobacterales; Enterobacteriaceae. RNAcentral also lists the same sequence under 11 other names. The record is from RNAcentral.